RNAcentral lists this transfer RNA (20 nucleotides) under Fundulus lineolatus (lined topminnow). Its description in RNAcentral is "partial tRNA-Glu". The record is from RNAcentral. Lineage: Eukaryota; Metazoa; Chordata; Actinopteri; Cyprinodontiformes; Fundulidae.
AAGGUUCUUGUAGUUGAAUA